Trematomus bernacchii (emerald rockcod) is the source of this 278-nucleotide long non-coding RNA. RefSeq lists it as uncharacterized. The record is from RefSeq and is a predicted model, not a curated record. The transcript has 2 exons. NCBI's taxonomy places the organism in Eukaryota, Metazoa, Chordata, Actinopteri, Perciformes, Nototheniidae.
CUUCAGUCCAUUCUGGACCCCAUGACUCGGACACUAGUUCUACCAAGGCUCAUUAGAGAGUGCUUCAGAGGAUGGCUGAAUUCACAAAACGUGGAGAAGACCGAGAAGGAGAAGUUGGCCGGUUACUACAUUUCACAAAAAAUACAGGACCUUGUGAAAAACGGAAAGAAACAGUUGAAGGAAAUUGCUUAAAGAUAUGAAGUAAUGGGUGUUUUGAAAAUGUUUUCAAAUGUGUGUUAAUGUUCAUUGUGUGUUAUAAAUUAUUUUCCUGCUUCUAA